AACCUGCCUUGGAGUGGGGAAUAACAGCUAGAAAUAGCUGCUAAUACCGCAUGAUGCAGUGAAGUCGCAUGGCUUUGCUGCCAAAGAUUUAUCGCUCUGAGAUGGCCUCGCGUCUGAUUAGAUAGUUGGCGGGGUAACGGCCCACCAAGUCGACGAUCAGUAGCCGGACUGAGAGGUUGGCCGGCCACAUUGGGACUGAGACACGGCCCAGACUCCUACGGAAGGCAGCAG
This 231-nucleotide ribosomal RNA is filed under the name uncultured bacterium. RNAcentral describes it as "partial 16S ribosomal RNA". It matches the Rfam family "Bacterial small subunit ribosomal RNA", at positions 123 to 354 of the family's 1533-position model. The record is from RNAcentral.